Molecule: ribosomal RNA, 387 nt
Filed under: Ostreococcus mediterraneus
Lineage: Eukaryota; Viridiplantae; Chlorophyta; Mamiellophyceae; Mamiellales; Bathycoccaceae
Description: partial Bacterial large subunit ribosomal RNA
Rfam family: Bacterial large subunit ribosomal RNA
Source: RNAcentral
UUGUUAAAUGCGCCGGCUGUGUGCCUGAGACGUGAUGGGACCCCGUUUUUGGGGGAUUUGGUGAUCCUAUGCUGCCGAGAAAAGCAUCGGCGUGAGGUUUUAGCCGCCCGUACCCUAAACCGACACAGGUGAUCAGGUAGAGAAUACUAAGGCGAUCGAGAGAAUCAUGGUUAAGGAACUCGGCAAAAUGCCCCCGUAACUUCGGGAGAAGGGGGACCUUGAGCGUGAUGGGCACUUGCUGCCUGGAGCGUGUAUGGGUCGCAGAGACCAGGGGGAAGCGACUGUUUAUCAAAAACACAGGUCCGUGCGAAGUCGUAAGACGAUGUAUACGGACUGACUCCUGCCCGGUGCUGGAAGGUUAAGAGGAGUGGUUAGCUUCUGCGAAGC